This 347-nucleotide transfer-messenger RNA is filed under the name Clostridiales bacterium. It matches the Rfam family "transfer-messenger RNA". Rfam says of the family: Bacterial tmRNA, also known as 10Sa RNA or SsrA, is named for its dual tRNA and mRNA-like properties. Its role is to liberate the mRNA from a stalled ribosome. To accomplish this part of the tmRNA is used as a reading frame that ends in a translation stop signal. The record is from RNAcentral. RNAcentral also lists the same sequence under 1 other name. Lineage: Bacteria; Bacillati; Bacillota; Clostridia; Eubacteriales.
GGGGGCGUACUGGUUUCGACGGGGAUCGUCGGAGGCAUGAGAAGCGAGCCGCGUUUUCUGGUCGCGUAAUAAACGGAAAACUAAAAUUAACUGACAAUAACGAAUUUGCUUUCGCUGCUUAAUGCAGCGCGUCGGACUCAAGCGCUCACGGCUUGAAUCACCGGCGUCAUUGAUGUGAGGAACAGGCCCGCCUAAGCUUUGCGGCGAGGCCGGUAAAAUGAAGCUACCAAGGUCUCAAGCCCGGCAUGGGGCGUCUGACCGCGGGAAAUCCAAAACCAUGCCUGCGCUCGGAGAAACUUGUGUGGCCGAAUCUUCGGACAGGGGUUCGAUUCCCCUCGCCUCCACCA